GAUGAACGCUAGCGAUAGGCUUAACACAUGCAAGUCGAGGGGUAACGUGUUGGAAGCUUGCUUCCGAUGACGACGACCGGCGGAUGGGUGCGUAACGCGUAUGCAACUUGCCUCACAGUGGAGAAUAACCCGGAGAAAUCCGGACUAAUACUCCAUACACUCUUAAGUACGCCUGUACAUGAGAGGAAAGAUUUAUCGCUGUGAGAUAGGCAUGCGUCCUAUUAGGUAGUUGGUGAGGUAACGGCUCACCAAGCCGACGAUAGGUAGGGGUGCUGAGAGGCAGAUCCCCCACAUUGGGACUGAGACACGGCCCAAACUCCUACGGGAGGCAGCAGUGAGGAAUAUUGGUCAAUGGAGGAAACUCUGAACCAGCCAAGUCGCGUGAAGGAGGAAUGUCCUAAGGAUUGUAAACUUCUUUAGCGAGCGAGUAAGGACUUCCACGUGAUGGGAGUUUGAAAGUAGCUCGAGAAUAAGUAUCGGCUAACUCCGU
This 490-nucleotide ribosomal RNA is filed under the name uncultured bacterium. RNAcentral describes it as "partial 16S ribosomal RNA". It matches the Rfam family "Bacterial small subunit ribosomal RNA", at positions 28 to 506 of the family's 1533-position model. The record is from RNAcentral.